This 530-nucleotide ribosomal RNA is filed under the name uncultured Haloquadratum sp. RNAcentral's name for it is "bacterial SSU rRNA". It matches the Rfam family "Archaeal small subunit ribosomal RNA", at positions 1 to 526 of the family's 1478-position model. Lineage: Archaea; Methanobacteriati; Methanobacteriota; Halobacteria; Halobacteriales; Haloferacaceae. The record is from RNAcentral.
AUUCCGGGGUGGGUUCCUGCCGGAGGCCAUUGCUAUCGGAGUCCGAUUUAGCCAUGCUAGUCGUGCGAGUUCAGACUCGCGGCACCGAGCUCAGUAACACGUGGCCAAACUACCCUACAGAGACGGAUACCCUCGGGAAACUGAGGUUAACCCGUCAUACCGAUCUCAGGCUUGAAUCGCAGAGAUCACAAAAUGCCCCGGCGCUGUAGGAUGUGGCUGCGGUUGAUUAGGUAGACGGUGGGGUAACGGCCCACCGUGCCCAUAAUCAGUACAGGUUGUGAGAGCAAGAACCUGGAGACGGAAUCUGAGACAAGAUUCCGGGCCCUACGGGGCGCAGCAGGCGCGAAACCUUUACACUGCACGGAAGUGCGAUAAGGGGAAUCCCAAGUGCGAGGGCAUAUUAGCCCUCGCUUUUCUCGACUGUAAGGUGGUCGACGAAUAAGAGCUGGGCAAGACCGGUGCCAGCCGCCGCGGUAAUACCGGCAGCUCAAGUGAUGUCCCAUAUUAUUGGGCCUAAAGCGUCCGUAGCU